GGAGGGGUGGCCGAGCGGCUUAAGGCGGUGGUCUUGAAAACCACUGGCCCGGAAGGGUCCGGGGGUUCGAAUCCCUCCCCCUCCGCCA
Molecule: transfer RNA, 88 nt
Filed under: Acidobacteriota bacterium
Lineage: Bacteria; Pseudomonadati; Acidobacteriota
Description: Acidobacteria bacterium tRNA-Ser
Rfam family: tRNA
About the family: Transfer RNA (tRNA) molecules are approximately 80 nucleotides in length. Their secondary structure includes four short double-helical elements and three loops (D, anti-codon, and T loops).
Source: RNAcentral